Molecule: long non-coding RNA, 311 nt
Filed under: Rosa chinensis
Lineage: Eukaryota; Viridiplantae; Streptophyta; Magnoliopsida; Rosales; Rosaceae
Description: sRNA RchiOBHm_Chr5g0022161
Source: RNAcentral
CGGCUGUGCAGCGAUGGAAUUUGGUUGAGGCCGGCUGGGUUCGCGUUGGUGGGCAGGCUAGAGGGCACAUGCGGGCUCCGACGUGCAGGGCAGAUCAAGUGCAGGGAGGUCUGGUCAUAGGUGUGGGCGAUGCAGCAACAGGAGAUCGGUGAUCUGUGGCUGCAUGGAUCGGUGAUCCGUGAUUGGAUCAAAGGCGGUGCGUGCAGGUGUGGGGGCUAGGGAGCAGCGUCGAUGGGACUGGUGGUCGGGCUGAGCGAGGAGCCAAGUUGGAGGCCCGUGGGACUAGUGGUCAGGUUGGUCGGUGAGGUGGA